Molecule: ribosomal RNA, 468 nt
Filed under: uncultured bacterium
Lineage: Bacteria
Description: partial 16S ribosomal RNA
Rfam family: Bacterial small subunit ribosomal RNA
Source: RNAcentral
GACGAACGCUGGCGGCGUGCCUAACACAUGCAAGUCGAACGGAAACGCCCUGCUUUUUUGGGCUGCUCGAGUGGCGAACGGGUGAGUAACACGUGAGUAACCUGCCCUUGACUUUGGGAUAAGCUCAGGAAACUGGGGCUAAUACCAGAUAGGAUCUCCUGCUGCAUGGUGGGCGUUGGAACGUUUCGGCGGUUGGGGAUGGACUCGCGGCUUAUCAGCUUGCUGGUUGGGUAGUGGCUGACCAAGGCCUGGACGGGUAGCCGGCCUGGGAGGGUGACCGGCCACAAUAGGACUGCGAUACGGCGCAGACUCGAACGGGAGGCAGCGGUGGGGAGUAUUGUACAGUCGGCGGGAGCCUGAUGCGGAGACGCCGCGUGCGGGAAGACGGCCUGCGGGUAGUGAAACGCAGUAGCUUGAGACGAAGCGUUAGUGACGGUAAUGGGAGAAGAAGCACCGGCUAACUACGUG